RNAcentral lists this ribosomal RNA (702 nucleotides) under uncultured bacterium. RNAcentral's name for it is "bacterial SSU rRNA". It matches the Rfam family "Bacterial small subunit ribosomal RNA", at positions 635 to 1332 of the family's 1533-position model. The record is from RNAcentral.
GGCAGACUAGAGUGCAGUAGGGGGAGAGUGGAAUUUUCUGGUGUAGCGGUGGAAUGCGCAGAUAUCAGGAGGAACACCGAUGGCGAAGGCAGGUCUCUGGGCUGUAACUGACGCUGAGGAGCGAAAGCAUGGGGAGCGAACAGGAUUAGAUACCCUGGUAGUCCAUGCCGUAAACGUUGGGCACUAGGUGUGGGGACCAUUCCACGGUUUCCGCGCCGCAGCUAACGCAUUAAGUGCCCCGCCUGGGGAGUACGGCCGCAAGGCUAAAACUCAAAGGAAUUGACGGGGGCCCGCACAAGCGGCGGAGCAUGCGGAUUAAUUCGAUGCAACGCGAAGAACCUUACCAAGGCUUGACAUGUUCUCGAUCGCCGUAGAGAUACGGUUUCCCCUUUGGGGCGGGUUCACAGGUGGUGCAUGGUUGUCGUCAGCUCGUGUCGUGAGAUGUUGGGUUAAGUCCCGCAACGAGCGCAACCCUCGUUCCAUGUUGCCAGCACGUCGUGGUGGGGACUCAUGGGAGACUGCCGGGGUCAACUCGGAGGAAGGUGAGGACGACGUCAAAUCAUCAUGCCCCUUAUGUCUUGGGCUUCACGCAUGCUACAAUGGCCGGUACAAUGGGUUGCGAUACUGUGAGGUGGAGCUAAUCCCAAAAAGCCGGUCUCAGUUCGGAUUGGGGUUUGCAACUCGACCCCAUGAAGUCGGAGU